This 215-nucleotide long non-coding RNA is filed under the name Lathyrus oleraceus (garden pea). RNAcentral's name for it is "Pisum sativum (pea) long non-coding RNA (PSAT_LNC032387)". Lineage: Eukaryota; Viridiplantae; Streptophyta; Magnoliopsida; Fabales; Fabaceae. The record is from RNAcentral.
AAAAAUAAGAAGGAAAAACAACAAACUAAAAAUCUAACCAUCAAGCCAUAACAAGAAAUAGAAGCCAAUCAGCCAUAUUCACCAGCCACAAGCUUAUAGACCUCUAGAGAUAGCAAACUAGAAGAAGAAGAACUCGAACACCUGUCAAAUAAAGUGGAAAAGGAGGACAUCAAACAACCUAACACACCCUUAAAUAUUAGCCACUUGAGUGAACC